Non-coding RNA from Elaeis guineensis (African oil palm), 2283 nucleotides. Lineage: Eukaryota; Viridiplantae; Streptophyta; Magnoliopsida; Arecales; Arecaceae. The record is from RefSeq and is a predicted model, not a curated record.
CUCUCAUCGUUAACACCACCUCUAAAAUUUCCAGGGCCACCAAACCGCGAUUAUCGCACCUAUUGAUGGCUCCGGAUUAUUUACGUGCCCCGUCAAGGAACACCCUAACUCAAUAUCCAUGGCGAUAAUCCGAGAAAAUAAAACAGAAGAAUACGAAUAUAGGCAUCGAGAGAUAGAGGUCCAAGAAUCCUCUCUGUUCUUCUCCAGCUUCUUCCACCGGCCAUGGCAGCGCCGGCGAAGGAGGCGGAGUACGACUUCGAGUGGAGCCCGUCUCCGUCAAUCACUGGUGGAUCCCCGGCUGCGAGGAUCACUCCCGACUUCAGCCCCCCUCUGAUCGCCAUGGUCGCCGUCGUCGGCACCGCCUUCCUCAUCGUCCUCUACGCCCGCAUCCUCUCCCGCCUCCUCCUUCUCUUCCGCCGCCGUUGGCGCCGGUGGCGCCGCCACCGCCGCCUGCUCCAGUCCGCCGCCGCCUCGGACCUUGAAUCCCCUCCUCCCACCGGCGGUGCCGCGUCCUUCGGCUCCUCCUCCGACUACUUCCGCUCCCCAUACGGCCUCGACGACUCCGCGAUCAAGACCCUCCCUCUCUCCCUCUACUCCAAGUCCAAGGCCAAGCACCUAGCCGCCACCAAUCGGGACUGCGCCGUGUGUCUCCUCGAGUUCGAGGACGACGACUCGCUCCACACGCUCCCUCUCUGUUCCCACUCCUUUCACGUCGACUGCAUCGACGUCUGGCUCCGAUCCCACGCCACCUGCCCCCUCUGCCGCGCCGCCGUCAUCCGCCACGAAUCCCCCUUCGUCCCCAUGCGGGCUGCCCGAAUCCGGCCCAGCCUCGAUGAUCUCCUCCUCGAUCAACCGCCCGAGGCCCCUCAGCCGGUGCUGGACCCUGAAUCCGAGAUCGCCGCCGCCGCCGCCUCCCCUCCCUCAAUCCGCGGGGACGACCGAUUCGGCAUCCGGGAUAUGGAUUUCCUUCUGAAGAGGUCCUAUUCUUUUGGAUUCGAGCGCAGCCUGGCGGCCGAUCGGAUGGUCCUGGAGACCUCCAUGGCCUCGCCGUGGCGGUACCGAUACCGAAGCUUCUGGAGCAAGCGGUGGCCGUCACCGUUCGGCGGCAUCAGCGGGGGCGGCUCCUCCUCCGCCUCCCGGGCGGCAAGGGUUUUCUCUUUUCGGUCCUACCGGAGCGUCGCCGCAAAAUCGCCUUUCCUGCGACGGCGGGGGUUCUUCCCGCUCUCGUCGGAGCCGAACGUCCGGCUUGGCGGCAGCGCGGGGCCCUCGUCGCGGCGGAGCCGCUCCAUGACGAGCCCGUCGGCGAUCUUCAUGCGGCCACCACCGCCACCAGUGGCGGGGUUUUCGUCGAGUCGGUUGCGGUGCGGGGAUCCUGAGGCUCUGUUGUCACCGGAGAGGUUGAACCGACGGUAGCCGGUCGCGGGGGCGUGCGUUGACCUGGAGUCGGCGGUGGCAGGAAAGAGGCCGGACGAAUGGGGUCACCGGCCGGGCGCUUUAAUGGUGGGUCGCAUGCGAGACAUUAAUGUCCUGCCGGCUUCUUUAAUGAAGGGGGUCGAUGGGGGAGGAGAGGAGAGAAGGGAUUUUUAUUUCUUUUCUCUCCUCUUUCCUCUUUGUUUCUUGCGGAGGACGAAGGCGGGUCGGUGGGUGUCAUUAAUGCGGCCUUUAUCAAACGGAAGACAUCGGAACUUGAAGGGGACGUGAGCGGGGUUUUCUUCUUUUCCGAUCCGUCCCCUAGUCGAGAAACGCGCGAAGUGUCGCAACGGGCGAUAGACACGUGGGCUGCCCAGCUCCAAAGGAACGACACGAAACGCCACCACUGCAUCGGGUUUCGAUGACGCCGUGCCGGUGAUGGGCGGAUAACGGUUUUCUAUGGCUUGAGUUUUUUCUCCGGACGGACGAACACGCGCAUAGAAACAUUUGUGCGGGAUCGACGUGCCAGUUGCUUGCUUGCUUGCGUUGGUGCACCCUUCUCAGCUGUCGCCCAUUGCUCGAAAAGACAAAGCUGAUGGUAGAUCCCAAGCCAGUAUAGAACAACUCUGUUGCACAUAUUAAAGAUAGCGAUGGCCGGCGUUGAUAUUUCUUACGAGGACUGAAUCACAGUAGUUUAAGAGCCAGUGGGAGUAGGGUUGGGGUUCGAAAGAAUGAUUGAUCUUCUUUUGCAUGAAUCUGUCAUGGGAUUAACGAAGAAAUUUGGGAUUAAUGAAGAAGUUUGGAGGGUUUUGAGAUUUAUGGGGGCACAAUCCAGUUAUUGACAUUGUGGAAAUAAAAGGUCAACAAUUCUUU